UUUUUCAUUAUUAUUUUUGCUGCAUGCGAGAAACAUGAUGCACGUGCGUGGUAAAUAAUUAACGCACGUGCGGGCAAAUAUUAAACGCGAUUUCUUAUUUCUGACGUUUGCGGUGAGUUGCAGCUUGCGGAUCGAUAUUGACGCGUGUAGGGGCGGCGUUAUGGUGGGAGCGGCACCGCUUUCUGAAAUAGUUCGACGGCGUGUGAAAACUUGUGGCAACUUGGCGACGGAGAGGGAGGGGUGAAAACCGUGGUAAACGUGGGAACGGUUGUUGAGGUGGAGAGAAAGUAGUAUGGUGAAGUAUCCAGCGGUGGCAAGCAAUGUACGGAAGAGUUUGGAGUGGAGCUGGGAGGGGCGAGCAUAAGGGUCGAAGUGAUAAGAAACAUAUCGGAUGCGAUCAUACCAGCACUAAAGCACCGGAUCCCAUCAGAACUCCAAAGUUAAGUAUGCUUGGGCGAGAGUACUACCAGGAUGGGUAACCUCCUGGGAAGUCCUCGUGUUGCAUUCCC
This 509-nucleotide ribosomal RNA is filed under the name Hordeum marinum (seaside barley). The record is from RNAcentral. Lineage: Eukaryota; Viridiplantae; Streptophyta; Magnoliopsida; Poales; Poaceae.